CUCUAAUCAGGAUCCUGAGUACGGCCCAGCACGUGAAAUUGGGUCGGAAUCUGGGAGGACCAUCUCCCAAGGCUAAAUACUAACUAGUGACCGAUAGCGAACAAGUACCGUGAGGGAAAGGUGAAAAGAACCCCGGAAGGGGAGUGAAAUAGUUCUUGAAACCGUGUGCUUACAAGAAGUUCGAGGCCGUUAAUGGCUGAGAGCGUGCUUUUUGUAGAAUGAACCGGAGAGUUACGAUUGCGUGCAAGGUUAAGGUGCAAAGACUGGAGCCGUAGCGAAAGCGAGUCUUAAUAGGGCGAAUCAGUACGUAGUUGUAGACCCGAAACCGAGUGACCUAUCCAUGGUCAGGUUGAAGGUGGGGUAAUACCUACUGGAGGACCGAACAAGUGGGUGUUAAAAAACCCUUUGAUGAACUGUGGAUAGCGGUGAAAUUCCAAUCGAACUCGGAGAUAGCUGGUUCUAUCCGAAAUACAUUUAGGUGUAGCCUUGCAAUUAGCUUACUGGAGGUAGAGCACUAUUUGGUCUAGGGGCCCUUCAAGGGUUACCAAAAUCAGAUAAACUCCGAAUGCCAGCUAAGUAUGUGCAGGAGUCAGACGGUGAGUGAUAAGAUCCAUCGUCAAAAGGGGAACAGCCCAGAUCACCAGUUAAGGUCCCUAAAUAUAUGCUAAGUGGAAAACGUUGUGAAGGUGCAUAGACAACUAGGAGGUUGGCUCAGAAGCAGCCACCCUUUAAAGAGUGCGUAAUAGCUCACUAGUCAAGUGCUCUUGCGCGGAUAAUGUACCGGGGCUAAGCAUAUUACCGAAACUGUGGAUGCGUAAGCAUGGUAGGAUAGCGUAAUUAACGCGAUGAAGGAUGACCGUAAGGACAUGUUGGAGCGUUAACUAGUGAGAAUUCCGGUAUGAGUAGCGAAAGAUAGGUGAGAAUCCUAUCCACCGAAUGAGUAAGGUUUCCCCCGGAAGGCUCGUCCGCGGGGGGUUAGUCGGGACCUAAGGCGAGGCUGAAAAGCGUAGUCGAUGGACAACAGGUUGAUAUUCCUGUACCGAUAUUUAAUUGCCGAAGGAAGGACGCAGAAGGAUAACACAGGCCACUAUUGGAUGUGGUUUUAAACAGUUAGUCUUCAUAAGAGUCAAAUGCUUUUAUGU
Molecule: ribosomal RNA, 1142 nt
Filed under: Oenococcus oeni
Lineage: Bacteria; Bacillati; Bacillota; Bacilli; Lactobacillales; Lactobacillaceae
Description: bacterial LSU rRNA
Rfam family: Bacterial large subunit ribosomal RNA
Source: RNAcentral